AUAAUUGCUGAGAAGGAAAAGAGUACCUGCUAAUUUCUGUGAAAGCGAAUCCGGGAAGGUGGAAGCCGGAUGACAGAAACCCAGGGAAGGCAUUCCUGAGCAAUAUUUGAUUAAAGAGGCCGCUGAUGCGGCAAAUAGGGUGGAACCGCGGGUAAACUCUCGUCCCUAUG
RNAcentral lists this unclassified non-coding RNA (170 nucleotides) under Bacillus sp. B-jedd. RNAcentral describes it as "T-box". Lineage: Bacteria; Bacillati; Bacillota; Bacilli; Caryophanales; Bacillaceae. The record is from RNAcentral.